AAUAGAUACCCAGGUAGUCCAUGCCGUAAACGUUGGGCACUAGGUGUGGGGCUCAUUCCACGAGUUCCGUGCCGCAGCAAACGCAUUAAGUGCCCCGCCUGGGGAGUACGGCCGCAAGGCUAAAACUCAAAGGAAUUGACGGGGGCCCGCACAAGCGGCGGAGCAUGCGGAUUAAUUCGAUGCAACGCGAAGAACCUUACCAAGGCUUGACAUGCACGGGAAGCCACCAGAGAUGGUGGUCUCUUUGGACACUCGUGCACAGGUGGUGCAUGGUUGUCGUCAGCUCGUGUCGUGAGAUGUUGGGUUAAGUCCCGCAACGAGCGCAACCCUGUCCCAUGUUGCCAGCGGGUUAUGCCGGGGACUCAUGGGAGACUGCCGGGGUCAACUCGGAGGAAGUGGGGAUGACGUCAAAUCAUCAUGCCCCUUAUGUCUUGGGCUUCACGCAUGCUACAAUGGCCGGUACAAAGGGCUGCGAUACCGUAAGGUGGAGCGAAUCCCAAAAAGCCGGUCUCAGUUCGGAUUGGGGUC
This 528-nucleotide ribosomal RNA is filed under the name uncultured bacterium. RNAcentral describes it as "bacterial SSU rRNA". It matches the Rfam family "Bacterial small subunit ribosomal RNA", at positions 777 to 1305 of the family's 1533-position model. The record is from RNAcentral.